This 1259-nucleotide long non-coding RNA is filed under the name Mytilus galloprovincialis (Mediterranean mussel). The record is from RNAcentral. Lineage: Eukaryota; Metazoa; Mollusca; Bivalvia; Mytilida; Mytilidae.
GGAAAAUGGUUUUAUUGCACAAAGUAAAAAACAAAGAGUUACAUAAUAAAUACAUUUUUUGGUGGUAAAAAUGACAAAAUAUCACAUUUAUUGCACAUGAUAUUUGCUGCAAUUAAUUUGUUUAAAUAUUGGAUUUUUAUACCUAUAAGAUGGAAUAAUCAAAAUGUAGUGAAACAUGGAUUUGUUCAUUUUAGCAGAUGAUACAAAAUAAAAUAAAAUAUAACAAUGGUUCAUAUAUAUCUGCAUACAAUCUUAAAGAAUAAAGAACAGUGUACCUGCAAUUAAUUUAAAAGGUUCUUUUUGUUUUGAAUAGUAUUAAAAUAUAAUUAAAAAUAUCUUUUCAAAACUGAUAUACUUCUUUUCUGAAAUCUGUGUCUAGUUUAAGCUGAAUAAUGUAUAGAACAACCAAUUAGGGAACAACCCGGAAGAAAAAAUAGUAUAUAAAUCACACACAACAAUUUUUACACAGGGCUUUCAAAAUAUGUAAAAUAUAUGGAAAUUGUAGGUAUAAAAUGUGGUUUCGACAUGAAAUGAUUGUCACUUUGUUUAAAUAAAUGGCUUUGAAAGAAGAAAACAAUGGAGUCUUGAAUUAGUAGUUUGGUAACUGAUUGUCAGAAAAUUAAUUAACAAAAUACUAAACAAUAAAAUAGAUAUAUUAAGAAGAUGUGGUAUGGGUGCCAAUGAAUAAACUCUCCAUCCAAGUCACAAUGUGUAAAACAGUUGGUGAAAAUUUGUUGCAUUCAAACUAGUAUCAGUUCAGGUUUUGGUCACUGAAUUGUUUAUUGUGUGGUUUAAAGACCAGUUUGAAUGUAACACAUACACUCUCAGUAUGUGAGUCAACAACAUAAUUAUUUAUGAGUUAUCACCCCUUAAUCUGAGAUAAACACAUGAAAUUUACAUAAUGUAAAUAUAGAUAAUAAUUUGAUAUUGAUUAAAUAUCAUGAACUUAUUUUAACUUGAAGCUUUGUAAUUGUGAUAUGGAAAAAAAAUAAAAAUAUGUCAACACAUUCAGACAGUAACUUUACAAUUAAAAUAAAUAAACAGUUUGUUUUAAAUAAAAUUGCCUGAUUAAAGGAGAUAGACACCUAAUAUUUCUUAUGUCUUUACAAUUACAACACAGAAGUGUCAUUUAUGAAAUUUGGCAAGAAAACAGUAAAAUACAUUAUUGAUAAAUCAAAUCAGACUUUGACACAUACAUGCACAUUGAUAAAAGCUCUCAUCUACACAUACACAUAAACACAUCAAUCAACAAAACAAUG